AAUGGGGAGGGCUUGACGCUCUU
RNAcentral lists this unclassified non-coding RNA (23 nucleotides) under Chlamydomonas reinhardtii. RNAcentral's name for it is "small RNA Cre_0174". Lineage: Eukaryota; Viridiplantae; Chlorophyta; Chlorophyceae; Chlamydomonadales; Chlamydomonadaceae. The record is from RNAcentral.